This 4374-nucleotide long non-coding RNA is filed under the name Homo sapiens (human). RNAcentral's name for it is "non-protein coding lnc-CELF6-1:1". Lineage: Eukaryota; Metazoa; Chordata; Mammalia; Primates; Hominidae. The record is from RNAcentral.
CAGCGGGCCAUGACAAGCUCCAGGCUUUGGUUUUCGCUGCUGCUGGCGGCAGCGUUCGCAGGACGGGCGACGGCCCUCUGGCCCUGGCCUCAGAACUUCCAAACCUCCGACCAGCGCUACGUCCUUUACCCGAACAACUUUCAAUUCCAGUACGAUGUCAGCUCGGCCGCGCAGCCCGGCUGCUCAGUCCUCGACGAGGCCUUCCAGCGCUAUCGUGACCUGCUUUUCGGUUCCGGGUCUUGGCCCCGUCCUUACCUCACAGGGAAACGGCAUACACUGGAGAAGAAUGUGUUGGUUGUCUCUGUAGUCACACCUGGAUGUAACCAGCUUCCUACUUUGGAGUCAGUGGAGAAUUAUACCCUGACCAUAAAUGAUGACCAGUGUUUACUCCUCUCUGAGACUGUCUGGGGAGCUCUCCGAGGUACCCCUGAGCAGAAGGCUCUGGUGAUUGGUGGAGAGGCUUGUAUGUGGGGAGAAUAUGUGGACAACACAAACCUGGUCCCCAGGCUCUGGCCCAGAGCAGGGGCUGUUGCCGAAAGGCUGUGGAGCAACAAGUUGACAUCUGACCUGACAUUUGCCUAUGAACGUUUGUCACACUUCCGCUGUGAAUUGCUGAGGCUGCAAGGGAGACGAAUGUGUCUGAGGCUCAGGGGUAAGAAAGUGGUUAAAGACACCGAAGACAGAGAUGUGUGAUGGGGCGGGGUGGGAUUGGCUCCGAGGGACUGGCUCGAUAGUGGGAAUAGAGAAGAGGAAUCCCCAUCCACCCCCGCAGGAAACGCACCAGCGUUUGGAGGUGUGUGUGCCUGCGUGUGCCUGCGUUUGCCUGUGUGUGCCUGUGUGUGCGGUGGGGAUUAGCCCCGACUCCGGCAGACACCAUCACGCAUGACGAAGCUGCUUCCCCUCACGCGGCCCAAGGCGCACACGCGCGAUCCACGGCCACGCCCGCACACACUCGACACACACAGGGCAUUCGAGGGUCCGGUUGCCAUGGCGAGCAGGAGCGCGUGAGCCCAGCCGCCCCCCCCGCCCCCGGCGAGCCCAGUCAACUCCCACUCUGAUUGGCGGCUGCUUCCUCAUUAUGCAAAUCAUUUGCGUAGACUCGGCGGCCAGCUGCCUGACGUCACCAAGCACGGGGGCUGGGGCUCGGGGCUCGGCUCUGGGAGAGCUCGGGCGGGAGCCCAGAGAGAGCCGCACGGGGACCUCAAGCCAGACCCCAGCGUUCAGCCGCCACCUCGGCCCGGGCCCGCCCCGCCCCGGCCCCGCCCCUUUCCUGCCCGCCCCACCCCCUCUACGCCCCUCCACCCGGACCCCGCCCCCUGGGCAGCCCCCCGCCCUCUCCGCCCGGGCUCCGCCCCCUCCCCCUGGCCCUCGCCACCGGUCCAGGGAGGGGACGGCGGGACAGGCGGGACCAGUGGGACCGGCGGGAGGGCUGACAGGGCGGGGACAUGGCCGCGGCGCCGGGAGGGUCAGCGCAGCCCGCUGGCCCCGGCCCGCGCCUGGGUUUCAGCACCGCGGACAGCGGCGUCGGCAUGAGCGGGCUAAACCCCGGUCCCGCCGUACCCAUGAAGGACCACGACGCCAUCAAGCUCUUCGUGGGGCAGAUCCCGCGGGGCUUGGACGAGCAGGACCUCAAGCCGCUGUUCGAGGAGUUCGGCCGCAUCUACGAGCUGACGGUGCUGAAGGACCGGCUCACCGGCCUCCACAAAGGCUGUGCCUUCCUCACCUACUGCGCCCGGGACUCUGCUCUCAAGGCCCAGAGUGCACUGCACGAGCAGAAGACCCUGCCAGGGAUGAAUCGUCCGAUCCAAGUGAAGCCAGCUGCCAGUGAGGGCCGAGGAGAGGACCGAAAGCUGUUUGUGGGGAUGCUGGGCAAGCAGCAGGGUGAGGAGGACGUCAGACGCCUGUUCCAGCCCUUUGGCCACAUCGAGGAGUGCACGGUCCUGCGGAGUCCUGACGGCACCAGUAAAGGGCGCCUCGUCCAGCCUCGUGGUCAAGCUGGCGGACACCGACCGGGAGCGCGCGCUGCGGCGGAUGCAGCAGAUGGCCGGCCACCUGGGCGCCUUCCACCCCGCGCCACUGCCGCUAGGGGCCUGCGGCGCCUACACCACGGCGAUCCUGCAGCACCAGGCGGCCCUGCUGGCGGCGGCACAGGGCCCAGGCCUAGGCCCGGUGGCGGCAGUGGCGGCCCAGAUGCAACACGUGGCGGCCUUUAGCCUGGUAGCUGCGCCUCUGUUGCCCGCGGCAGCAGCCAACUCCCCGCCUGGCAGCGGCCCUGGCACCCUCCCAGGUCUUCCGGCGCCCAUCGGGGUCAAUGGAUUCGGCCCUCUGACCCCCCAGACCAAUGGCCAGCCGGGCUCCGACACGCUCUACAAUAACGGGCUCUCCCCUUAUCCAGCCCAGAGCCCCGGCGUGGCUGACCCCCUGCAGCAGGCCUACGCUGGGAUGCACCACUACGCAGGCCCCGAAGGCUGUAACCUCUUCAUCUAUCACCUGCCUCAGGAGUUUGGUGAUGCGGAACUCAUACAGACAUUCCUGCCCUUUGGAGCCGUUGUCUCUGCUAAAGUCUUUGUGGAUCGAGCCACCAACCAGAGCAAGUGUUUUGGGUUUGUUAGUUUUGACAAUCCAACUAGUGCCCAGACUGCUAUUCAGGCGAUGAAUGGCUUUCAAAUUGGCAUGAAGAGGCUCAAGGUCCAGCUAAAGCGGCCCAAGGAUGCCAACCGGCCUUACUGACCUGCUUUCACUGACCAGCCACAGAAAGAAACAGAAGAGUGAGAAGAAAGGAGAGGAAAAGCACAGAAACGCUUGAGCAGCCCUUCCCGAAGGAGCAGCUGCGGACGGAGGUGGAUCGGACCCAAGGCUGGUGCCUGGGGCUAAGGCCACUCUAAGGAUUGUUUUUAUCAAGUGGGUUGUUCUGUGCCUGCAGCAUAGAGCGCAGGCUGGCAGAGCAAAUAGGGCUGGUGAGGAGUGACUGUCCAGGGGAACCAGCAGAGGGCGUUGGGGGUGCCAAGGGCUUCUCCGCAAGGGAAGCCCAGAUUUACUUCUUUCAAAAUCAUAUCAUUCCUUAGAGUUUAGGGACCAAAGGACUAUUGCUUUUUUAAGAAUAUAUAUAUCUAUAUAAAUUAAAACAAAGAAACAAACAAACAAAAAACAAGACAAACAACUACAAAAAAAGACAGUAUAGAGUCUCAUAAAAGCUGCCUUUAAAUAUCCCUAGGAGACAGGGUGAAGGAGACCCUUGACAGCCCCAGCCUAGGCAGAUGGGGGCUGUGGAAAGAUUGUUCUGUGUCUCAUUCCCUCUUAAGCCACUCCCCCACCCUGCCCUUUUAAAAAUAAUUAAGGAUUUGAGGUCUAGGCUCACAUGCAGGUAAUGAGAACGUUAUGGAAGCAGUGAACCCACAAUCCACAAUCCCCAAACUCAGAGUGCAUCCCAGAAGAGGCCCCAGGCAGAGCUCAGGUUGGCCCUGGCCUUUGCCAUCCCGGGAGGCCCCCUAGCCAGCAAGAGUGGGAUUGCCUUUCCUGUGGAACCACUGCUUCCCCAGGCGGGAAGAAAGAGGGAGUUCUGGCCACCUGAGCCUUUCCCUUGCCAAUCCAGGUAGACAGAGGCCCUGCCUUUGGCUGAGCUGAGACACCUCCUGUUUCCCUUCCCCUUGAACCAGUCCCAGUGUCCCCUUGCUCCAGGCUACCUUCUGUCUCUUAGUCUAAGUUUGCCCACCUGUAAAGUAGAUUCAGGAUAUCUGUAGAGGGCUGUGACAACAGACUUGGAAGGUUUGCUACUGUAUAUACUGCCAUUGAGAAGGGGAAAUUUUUCAAUAUGUAGAAGCUUCAGAAUUAGAGGUCCCUCUUUACCCCAGACCUGGGAGGGAAGUAGAUGUUUUGCCAAAAUACUUCUUCAUUCCUUUAAAAACUACAUCUUUCCUAUGCAAGAGUGUCUCACAUGUGCUUAACCGAGGUGCUUCUAGUUGGUGAGCAGUGUUGAGCUUAGAAGUGGUGUGUGCUCUGUCUGUCUGUCUUUGUCUGUCUGUUGUAUACAGUGGGUGCCAUAUAAAGCUGAUCAAUGGUGGUGCUUCCUGCCUGCUUCUGUGAGAUGGGCAAAAGAUUCAGCUUAGAACACCAUGACUCACCUUGCCUUGGUCAGCCUUUCCUGGGCCUGUAGGGCCUUGCACAUAUUUUUCCCAGGAGGAUUUCCCCUCCACCCCACAGGCAUGGAUCAGCUUGGUCUGAGGCCCCAGCUGUGUGGGGUCCCUCUAAUCCCCAGAUGUUGCUGAGGCUGAAGGCCUCUGAUCUGAUAACAUGUCAGAUAGUAAAAGAUGUGGGGGUGGGGGUGGAGGGCUCCUCCUUCAUAACAGUUUCUAAGAAAACUUGUUCCCACCUGUU